RNAcentral lists this ribosomal RNA (482 nucleotides) under uncultured bacterium. RNAcentral's name for it is "bacterial SSU rRNA". It matches the Rfam family "Bacterial small subunit ribosomal RNA", at positions 33 to 507 of the family's 1533-position model. The record is from RNAcentral.
CGGACGACGCUGGCGGCGUGCCUAACACAUGCAAGUCGAGCGGAGAUGAUGUGAGGAAGUUUUCGGAUGGAAUCACAUUAUUUAGCGGCGGACGGGUGAGUAACGCGUGAGCGACCAACCUUGCACAGGGGGAUAACGGACCGAAAGGUUCACUAAUACCGCAUGAGACCACGGUGUUGCAUGACACAGAGGUCAAAGGAGGAAUCCGGUGCAAGACGGGCUCGCGCCCGAUUAGGUAGUUGGAGGGGUAACGGCCCACCAAGCCUAUGAUCGGUAGCCGACCUGAGAGGGUGAUCGGCCACAUUGGAACUGAGAUACGGUCCAAACUCCUACGGGAGGCAGCAGUGGGGAAUAUUGGGCAAUGGGGGAAACCCUGACCCAGCAACGCCGCGUGAAGGAAGAAGGUUUUCGGAUUGUAAACUUCUGUCCUUGGUGAAGAGAAGAAGACGGUAGCCAAGGAGGAAGCCCCGGCUAACUACGUG